This 277-nucleotide long non-coding RNA is filed under the name Mytilus galloprovincialis (Mediterranean mussel). Lineage: Eukaryota; Metazoa; Mollusca; Bivalvia; Mytilida; Mytilidae. The record is from RNAcentral.
GGCCCAAUAGAUUCAGUGGAAAAUGUUAGUGAAAAUUUACAUAUUUUAUGAAAAUUGUCAAGAAUUGACGAAAAAGGGCAAUAACUCCUUAGGGGAUCGAUUGACUAUUUUGGUCAUGUUGACUUAUUUGUAGAUCUUACUUUGCUGAACAUUUUUGCUGUUUACAGUUUAUCUCUAUCUAUAACAAUAUUCAAGAUAAUAACCCAAAACAGCAAAAUUUCCUUAAAAUUACCAAUUCAGGGGCAGCAACCUAACAACGGGUAGUCUGGUUCAUCUG